This 163-nucleotide small RNA is filed under the name Chelonoidis abingdonii (Abingdon island giant tortoise). RNAcentral describes it as "TUC338 (ENSCABG00000018048.1)". The record is from RNAcentral. Lineage: Eukaryota; Metazoa; Chordata; Testudines; Testudinidae.
GUGAAAAGCACUUGAGAAUAAAGUCAUGUCACCACAAAGAGAUAUUGGUCCAACUGUGAAGGCUUCUUCAAAACAGCCCUGCCAACAUGCUUCAACCCUAUAGAGGGAGGACAAGAGAGAUGGAGGUAGCUCAGUCUCCAUGCCCAUUCAAGUCUUGGUCUCU